Molecule: small nucleolar RNA, 211 nt
Filed under: Moschus moschiferus (Siberian musk deer)
Lineage: Eukaryota; Metazoa; Chordata; Mammalia; Artiodactyla; Moschidae
Description: Small nucleolar RNA U3 (ENSMMSG00000020674.1)
Rfam family: Small nucleolar RNA U3
About the family: Small nucleolar RNAs (snoRNAs) are involved in the processing and modification of rRNA in the nucleolus.
Source: Rfam by way of RNAcentral
AAGACUAUACUUUCAGGGAUUGUUUCUGUAGUUUGUUACUAGAGAAGUUUCUCUGAGUGUGUGGACUACCCAAAACCACAAGGAGGACACACAGCAGUCUCUCCUGAAUACGAAGCCAGCUCUUGGUGUUCCUUCUGCAACUGCCAUUAGUCACUGAUGAUUGUUCUCAUCCUUUGGGAGAGUAAGAGGGAAAGUACGUUGUCUGAGCUGA